GCCUAUAGCUCAGUUGGUUAGAGCAGCGGACUCAUAAUCCGUUGGUCCCAGGUUCGAGUCCUGGUGGGC
RNAcentral lists this transfer RNA (69 nucleotides) under marine eukaryotic metagenome. It matches the Rfam family "tRNA". Rfam says of the family: Transfer RNA (tRNA) molecules are approximately 80 nucleotides in length. Their secondary structure includes four short double-helical elements and three loops (D, anti-codon, and T loops). The record is from RNAcentral.